UACGGGGGGGGCAAGCGUUGUUCGGAAUUACUGGGCGUAAAGGGUUCGUAGGUGGCCAACUAAGUCAGACGUGAAAUCCCUCAGCUUAACUGGGGAACUGCGUCUGAUACUGGUUGGCUUGAGUGCAGGAGAGGAACGCGGAAUUCCAGGUGUAGCGGUGAAAUGCGUAGAUAUCGGGAGGAACACCAGAGGCGAAGGCGGCGACCUGGACAGGUACUGACGCUGAGACGCGAAAGCGUGGGGAGCGAACAGG
Molecule: ribosomal RNA, 253 nt
Filed under: uncultured bacterium
Lineage: Bacteria
Description: partial 16S ribosomal RNA
Rfam family: Bacterial small subunit ribosomal RNA
Source: RNAcentral